AUUGAACGCUGGCGGCAGGCCUAACACAUGCAAGUCGAACGGUAACAGGAAGAAGCUUGCUUCUUUGCUGACGAGUGGCGGACGGGUGAGUAAUGUCUGGGAAACUGCCUGAUGGAGGGGGAUCACUACUGGAAACGGUAGCUAAUACCGCAUAACGUCGCAAGACCAAAAAGGGGGACCUUCGGGCCUCUUGCCAUCGGAUGUGCCCCGAUGGGAUUAGCUAGUAGGUGGGGUAACGGCUCACCUAGGCGCCGAUCCCUAGCUGGUCUGAGAGGAUGACCAGCCACACUGGAACUGAGACACGGUCCAGACUCCUACGGGAGGCAGCAGUGGGGAAUAUUGCACAAUGGGCGCAAGCCUGAUGCAGCCAUGCCGCGUGUAUGAAGAAGGACUUCGGGUUGUAAAGUACUUUCAGCGGGGAGGAAGGGAGUAAAGUUAAUACCUUUGCUCAUUGACGUUACCCGCAGAAGAAGCACCGGCUAACUCCGUG
Molecule: ribosomal RNA, 490 nt
Filed under: uncultured bacterium
Lineage: Bacteria
Description: partial 16S ribosomal RNA
Rfam family: Bacterial small subunit ribosomal RNA
Source: RNAcentral